AUCAAACAACACCAUUAAAAAGUGGGCAAAGAACAUGAACAGAAACUUUUCAAAAGAAGACAGACUAAAAGGGCAACAAACAUACGGUACAUGUUUAUUAUUUGUGGGGACUAGUUCUGUUCUCAGCACUGGGAAAUACAACUCCAAACAAAACAGAAAAAAAUUCCUGCCCUCAUGGAGCAUACACAGUAAGUAAAGUAUAUCGUAAGGCAGAUGGUGUUGAAUGUGAUGGAGAAAAAUAAAACAGGAAAGGGUGCAGGGGCGGUGGCCUUGGAGAGGGGUGUGGGGUUUGACUUUAAGUAACCUGGUUGGAGGCCAGGUUGGGUAAAGACCUGAAGGAGGCCGAGCUAGUCCAGCAAGAACCAGGAAAGGGUAUUUCAGGAAGUGGGGAAGAAACGCAGAGCAUCUGUGUUGCAUGGCAACGUGCUUGGUGUACACAGAGGCAGGCGGAGUGAGCAGAGUGAGUGUGCGGCACAGCAGCGGGUGUGAGACCGGAGACCUGGAGAGGUGAACAAUAACAGUCUGCAAAGGCAGAACAGCAUCAUAAAUAUGGUAGAAUUGUGACCAUGCACAGGAGAGCAAAUGGACAAAGACCAUAGAACUCAUAUCAGAAAGACAUUAUCAGAAAGCUGAGGAACCAUCUGGAGAGAAAAGCCAGUCCCGGGAAGUAAUGAGAAGCCUGAAGAUCCCAGAGGAUGCUGUUAGAGGAAAAGUCAGGAAAGUGUUGAAGACUCUACCUCCUGCAAAUAUAAAAAUCAACAGGACAAGAGAGUAAACAACUCACCCAGAGUCACCCAGCUGGUGUGGACCAGAUCCACUGUGACAAGGUAUUGCCCAGGCCAUCACCUCCUCCUCACCCCUCAGUCACCACUGUAAUCCACAUGAUUGCCUUCAGUCACCUGGAUGACAACAGUGGCUAGGCAUGGGCGACAGCACGGAUGGCCAGUGACCUCUUUUCCUUCCUCUUUCCUUCUCCUCUGGACCAAGCGAUGAGGGCACUAGGAAACCUUCCUUGAGAACAUACGUGGACCGGGCUGUUCCUCCACCAAGAGGUUGGUGGGAAGACCAAGGGAAAGGACUGGAAAGCGGCUUGCCAGCUGUGACACACCACACAGAAGCUCAGGAUUACCACUCUCAACUAUGAGCUAGGAGAGGCCACGAUCUUCCGGUCCUCCCACCACUUCCCCGUUUCUCUCUUCUUCCCACUUCCUCUUUUUCCGCCUUCCGAACACCUUUUCAGCGGUGAACACCCAGCACCGGUGGGAGGGGUAACAUGAGCCGAGGUUUUGAAUUGCUAAAAUAAAUCAAAGAGCCAAUGUAAAUUACACCCAAAUUACUGAGAAAAGUGAAACAAAAACAAGUUCAGAGCCCAAUCCCAGGAAGAUGUUGCCUUCUGUAUUGACUUACCGCUUCAUGUUUUCCUGGUACAUCAAGGUCUCCGAGCUUCGACCAUUAUCCUUCCGCCUUCUAAAGCGAGAAAGCAAACGCUGACUCGUGCCAUUUGCCCCAGAUGCCACCGGAAAUGGCAUCUUCUCCCCAGACGCAGGCGCCCAGAGGCUAAUUCAUUUCCCCGUAGCCAUAGCGCAGGUUCUGGGCUCUCCAGCCUGGCUCCUCUGCUCCGCGGCGGGGGAGGAAGGACUCUGUCUGGGGAAGAGAGCUAGGGUCAACUGACACAGACGUUUUCCCAAAUCACCGCUUACUUUAACGAGAUGCGCCUGACCCUGGAGAGAGGAGAGAAAAGUCUCCAGGGAGGGAAGCCGGGAUGUCUGUAGUAUGUGAUGGUUGCCCUGAAGAUGCACACACAGGGCCAGAAGAGUUGUUCCACCUGCCUGGGAGUGAAGGUCACCUUCCCCUCCGCUUUCCCUGUCUUGGUGCCCAUGGCAUCUGCCCCUUUACCAGUUUCUGGCUUGAACUGGAAUGAAGAUAUGGAGAUGAAGAGCUCCAGCAGGCUCAGGCACAGCUGGGACGUCAUUGCCCCUCCUUAACCCCAUUCACAAAUGCUUGCCACUGGACACGCAGUGGCCAGAGAGUGAGCGCUCAGAGCAUCCCCUGCUAAUCUCCCCUCCCGACAGCAGAGGCGAUAGUCAUCCUUGCACAGAUGAUCCAGGGCUGUGCAAGGCCUUCGUUCCAGCCCGUGGGGACAGUGACGCACAGUAAAGCACUGACUUAAGGCAGCUGGGAGAUAAGAACUGCAGCUCCACUUCUGCAACUCUGCACGACCCCAGGCAACCCAGGCACUCUCCAUUCUGAGCCCCAGGUGCCUUUAGUACGGUAAAGGAAAUCUCUGCAGGCCUGCGGCUCCCUGGCCUUCCCAUCUGUGAAGGGUAGCGUAUGCACGGACCUUAAUGGACUAGGGGGCUGUAUGCUAGUCUAAAACACCAACUCUCUUUGAUUUGAGACAAGUUUCUCAGACAUUUGUACCUCAAAAUAUCCCACAUUGGCUCUUUGCUCAGCUGCCACGUUCUGGCCCUUGUGAUGAUCUGGUUUCCAGACAUAUUGAGCACAAUAAAUGAGUAGUCCCCGGCGGGCUUCUAAUGGCCGUCUCCUCCCAUAUAAUCACUUAGUCGCCCAUUCUAGAAUCACGCUAGCAUCUAGGACCUUGUUGCUGUCUAAUUGGUUUGCUCUUUACAGAAAUUGCUCUUCAAAAACUGGGACAAUAGUUACCAAUCUCUAGUCAUUUGGGGCAUUUGCUUACGUGCUCUUACUUUCUCUUCUGUGUUCUGUUCUUAUUCUUCUAUUAAACAAAAUUACGGGAGGCCUUUGUUUUGGACUGAGCCCAUGCCCUAGGCCCCAGCAGACCAGACCAAACCAGAAUAGAGUCACACCCUUCAAAUGCCAAUUAGUCAAACUGAAACUUAAAGAAAACAGAUAGAGCCCAAGGCAGAGUAGUUUUUCCUGAAAACAAGAGAUUCCGGCCUGUUUUAGCAUAAUAAGGAAUUCCCCCCUGCUUUAACCCUUACAAGAAAGUAAUCUGGUGUUACCCAAUCCAUUUUUUUUCUAUUGUUCUGUUUCCUUGUUCCCACUUUAUAAAACCCAUUGUUCUGCCACUGCCCAAUGAGAGCUCUCAUUCUAUUUUACAGAAUAGAGGCUGCCUCAAUUCAUGAAUCACAAAUAAAAGCCAAUUAGAGCUAUCACCAAAUUAGUUGUAAUUUUGCCUUUUGACCCUGCCAACUGCUCUUUUCAGGCCACUAUGCUCCCUGACCCCUCCUCCCCCAUAGAAUCAGAUAAUGGGGUCACUGGGGCACCUGGAAGGUAAGAAGUGACACUUCCUUGGAUGUCAGUUUGGGGAGAAAACAGCAGCAAAAUAGUAAUAGCAGCUGGAGUGGCAGCAGCUAUGGUGGCAGCAUUGUCCACAGCACUGGAGGUGAGACGGUGACCGUGGCUGCAGCCAUGGCUGAUCUCUGUCCCUGCCUCCUAAGUCACAGUUCCACUGGGUUAGGGAGAACUUGGUGUCCUGUGGUUACUAAUCUUCCAGUAAUCUAAUCUUUUUUCUUGCUCCAGCAGUCUUUCCAACACUCAUGUAGCCAAGUUUUGUAUUAAAUUCUCUCAAUUUGAAAUAUCUAAAAUGGCAUCUCUUUUUCUAAAUAAACCCUGAUUAAUACUAUAUGUAAUUUGCCAGAGCUUGAAUCCUUAAACUAAUUUAGAGCUGCCCUAUGAUCUUUAUUUUGAAAUCUGGAGCUUUAAAAGUCUGGAUACGACCAGCUGCUCAUUUCAUAUUAUAGAAUAAAAUCAACCAAAUGAAAGAUUAAAAAACUAUUUUUAUCAAACUCCAAUAAGAUUCGAGAAAGGAUAUAAUUUAUUUAAUGCACUAGAAAGUGUUUGCUAUGGUUUGAAUGAUUUCCCCAAAUUUCCUGCAUUGGAAACUGAAUCCCCAGUGCAAUAGUGUUGGGAGGUGGUUAGGUGAUGAGGGCAGAUGAAAUAGUAAGAUAAUAAGAGGUGAUUAGAUCAUGAGGGUGGAGUAGCAUCAUUAUUGUGGGAGCGAGCUUCUUAUAAAAGCCAGUUCACUCUUCUCUUCCCCUGAUGCCCUCUGACAUAUGCUCUCUUGCCCUUUUGCCUUCCAAGAUGGGAUGACCCAGCAGGAAGGUCCUCACUAGCUGCAGCCCCUCAAUCUUGGACUUCUCAGCUUCCACAAUGAUGGGUCAAGUGUCCCUCAUCUGAAAUGCUCAGGACCAGAAGUAUUUUGGAUUUGGGAUUUUUUUUGGACUUAGGAAUAUUUGUAUGAUUAUUAUUAUUAUAAUAAUUGUGUUUGUAGCCAAAAUCUGAAAGCCCAAAAUUUGAAAGACUCCAAAGAGUGUUUCCUUUGAGCAUCAUGUCAAUGUGCAAAAGAUUUCAGAUUUUGGAGCAUUUUGAUUUCAGAUUUUCAGACUUGGAUUCCCAAUCUGAAUAAGAAAUAAAUCUCUAUUUUUCAUAAAUGACCCAGUCUCAGGUAUUCUGUAAUAGCAGCAAAAACAGAUUAAGGCAGUGUUCAUAAUAGUAACUCAUGAUUUGUUGUUAUUAAAAUAUUUCACUGUGACAAUACCAUUAUGAAAUUUAUUUUACAAACAACUUUCUUCAGGGUAUUUUUUUUUAAUUUGAGGCUUAUACAAAACCACCUGAUAAAAAUAGACGCAAUCAUGCUUGGGCUUUUAGAUUCAAAGUCUGUUUCCCCAUCUGUUAUUCAAAGUCUAGGUCUAUAUGACCAAAGCAAAAUGGAGGAUUGUGAAAUUAUCCAUUGACUCACAGACAAAUAGAAUAUCAGAGUAGGGAAGGGGCAGCUGUGCUUAUUUGAUUCAACACCAGUCAGAAAUAUGAUUCUUUGAAUGUCUGAUAACCAUGGAGUGGAUAUCUAUACUCUGUUUGGAUACCCUCAAUUAUAAGGAAGUCAUUACCUUGCCAGGCAGCCCAUUCAAUCAUUGGACAGCUUGGAUUACUAGAAAUGCACCCCUUUUAUUGAGCCCAAGGAAUGAGCUGCCACCACUGAGGCUUCUACUCAUAGGUCCUAGUUGCUCCAUUUAGAUUUGUACAAAAUAAAUAGAUUCUCUAUUCUAUUUGAAAGCUUUUAAAACCAAUAUAUAGAUAGCUAUGAUAUCUAUUUAUAGAAACAAUCUCAACAUCUAAGAGGAAGGUCCAGUGACAUGGGGGAAGUUCUUGAGGUCAGGUGAACCCUCUGACUACACUCUGAAGGCUCCCUGGAAAUGAUGAACUUUGAAAACAAAACAGGCUUUCCUUUCACACAUCUGUACAAGCUCCUUUAGAGACUCAACCACUUCCCCAAAGAGGCAAACUUUCAUAAAUUUCCCAGAAGUGAGGUCAUUGAGGGCUACUUUGGCUCUAGGGACGUUCCUCUUCCCCCUGAAACAUGAGGACACUGCAAAUCCAAGAAAAGCAUACUUCUUUGAGAACCUGACCCAGAAAUAUUUCUUACACAUCACUGUGCUAGUGUGAAUGGUGGCAGCAGAGGAAAACGAAAGUGAAAGAAGGAGAAAUGGCAGGACAUAAACUUUAGGAUUUAGAUAGGGACUAAAUUUUAAAUGGCUUUGUGUGACAAAUCUAGAAGCUUGGAUGCCAUCCUACAGCAAAGAGGAGUCAUUGCCCCAUGCAAUGAUCAUGAUUGCAAUGAUAUUGUAAAAAGAUUCCCCUGGUGGCAGCAUGGAGCAGGAAUUGGUGGGAGACAAGGUUGGCAGUAAGGCAAGUGGUCAGAGGCAAUAAUGCAGGAAAGAAAUGAUAAAUGAAUGAAUAUGAUGAUGUCAGUAGGGAAGCACAGGAUGGGGAUAGAGUGAAUGGGGUUUUAGUGAUUGAUUGGAUAUGGAGGGAAAAGGCAACUGGGUAGAUGAUAGAAUCAUUCGCAAAAGAGAAAAAAAGCAUGAGGAAUAGCAAAUUUAGGUUGCAAAAUUUGAUGAGACCUGUUUGGAGCAUGUUAGAUUUGAAUGCCUCCAGCUUGCACAAGCAGAGAUGACCCACAGGCAGUUGAAGAAGUGGUCUGGCAGUUGAGAGAGAGAGACAGAAGGCAGAAGAUAUAGAUUUUGAAGUCAUCAGUAUAUGGGUAAAUCCAUGAGAAAGGAUGAGAUCCAUCUAUCAUUCAUUCAUUCAUUCAUUCAUUCAUUCAUUCAAGCACUCAUUCCCCUAUCCACUAAAGUAAUAUUUAAUCACUGACUUUGUGCCAGUAGCAUUAUAUGUGUGGCUAAAUAUUUGUGCAUCAGUGAACAAAAAGACACAGAUUUCAUGUUGAUGGUCCUUACAUAAUUGUGGGAAGGAGACAAACAAUACACAAGGAAGUAAAAGGCAAUGCCAGAUAAUAUUAAUGCUCUUAAGAAAUAUAAAGGAAAGUAAGAGAACAGGAUGAAAAGUGAUUAGAGAAGGUCUCCCUGAAGAGGUUAAACGUAAGCAGAAAACUAAAAGAAGAAAGAGGGUAAGCCAGGAGAAGACAGGAGGGAAGAGUGUUCUCUGAAAAUGAAAGGGAUGGGCAAAGGCCCUGGGGUGGAAACACAUCAGACCUGUUGGAUAAACAUCAGGGAUCAUGCAGGGAGAGUGUGUAACAUAAGGAUGAAACCUGGAAAGGAUAGAAGUAUGGGAACAUCAACCUUUGAAGAGUGGGCAAAGAAAGCAGACAAAGGAGGACUGAUCAAAAUUAUAGAAGGAAGGGUGGCUAAUUUUGUAUUCUGUGAAUUUAACACCAUAGUCUGAUAGCUUUCUUCUCAAAUAUCCACCACUCCUGUUUAUAGCUGUGUUUAUACACACAGCGGCAGAACACAUCUAAGAACUCACAUCUCCUCCACUCCCACUCUAGCUCCAGGGGCCUUCCUGAAGCCUGGCAACUGCCUGCCUCUGAGCAUUUGCGUAUUUUCUUGCCUCUUCCUGGAAGUUCUGGAGAAAGGAUGGGGUAGGACACCACAUCCUUCUUUACCGCCAGGAUUCCACUGACUUGUGACUUCCUUGGGGAGGCUGUACCUCAAGUCUAGAGACAAAGAUCGGUUCUCCUGUUACUCAUUCCUAAAGCAAUCUGAUCUUUAUAACUCUAAUCACAAUUGGGAUUAAAUACAUACUCAUGUAGUAUUACUUUCCUCCUCCUAGACAACGGACUCAACCAAGGUAGAAAGCAUGUCUAGCUUGUUCACUCUGUGCAUUUAUUAUUAAUAGUGUUCUAUAGAGAAACAGGACCACUGAGAUAUAUAUGUAUAAACAGAUUUAUUAUGAGGAAUUGGCUCAUUGACUCUGACCAGGAAUGCGAUUAUGGAGGCUGGGAAGUCCCACGUUCUACUGUCCGUAGCUGGCACUCCAGGAAAGCCAACAGUGUGGCUCAGUCCAAGUCUGAAGGCCUGAGGACCAAGGAAGCCGAUGAUGUAAGUCUCAGUCCGAGGGCAGGAGAAGGUGAGAUGAGAUGUCCCAACUCGGCAGCCAGGCAGAAAGGAGUGAAUUCUCCCUCGCUUCAUCUUUGGUUCAAUCCAGGCCCUCAGCAAGCUGGAUGUGCCCACAGAUGUGGGAGAGGGCAGUGCUCUUUACGGAACCCACUGAUUCGGAUUCUGAUAUGGCCAGGAAACACCCAGCAGACACACCCAAAAUCAAUGUUUAGCAAAAAAUCUGGGCAAAUUGACACAUAACAUUAACCAUCACACACCCUGUGUCUCUAAAGUCUUUGCAGCACAAUGUAGGUGCUCAGUAACUAUUUCUUGAUUAAAGUAGAUGAAUGAAUGAAUGGAUUUUUAUGAUUUUCUGUAAAAUCAUAGACAUGACUACAGACUAAGCAACUACAAAGUUGGUAAAAAAAUAAAUAAAUAAAAUAACUGACAGUGAUCAGUCUCAGCAUGCUAGCCUGCUGAUAGAUUGCACUACUUAGGUUUCAUUGGCAGUUACUCUCAGAGUAGCACCCAGAAACACCCCACCUCUACACAUGUGAAAGACGCCACCUCAGUCGCACCACUCCUUGAAGAAGAAAUUCAAAAUUUAUGGACUGUAAGUUUAGUUUAGAUCCAGUCCAGAUGCUAUUUGAAUGUUUUGCUUUGGUUCUAGUUCAGUGCUUCUUUAGCAAAAAAAAAAAAAAAAAAGAAAAAGAAAAGAAAGAGAAAGAAAGAUUAUUAUAUGUUCAAAAUGGCUUAUUAGUUGUUUCAAAAUAAAUAAAAAGAAAUUAUUUGUUCUGGUUGCCAAUCCGUUGAAAAAAAUAAGCAAAAAGUUAACAUAUACUUUGGGGUUGCAGUCAUCAGGCUGUUGUAAUUUUCCCUAAUAUUUGUUCAGAGUUGUAUAUUUCAAAUGUCCAAUUUUAAGGAGAAAAUAACAAUGGGCUUCAAUUAUGGAUAGAGGGACUGGAUUAUGUGUCUGCAAUAGCAAUCUUUUCGGAUACUGAGAAAUCUGGUUUUCAUAUAAUUAUCUGUGACCUUAAAUAUCCCUGUCAUUGGUCCCAAAACCCAUUAGCUCCUUUUGGAGCCCAUAAACAUUAUCAAGCUCAGAUAUUCUGCCAGCCAUAUGUGUUGCCUUGGGGGUUUGGUUUCAGCCAUUAUUUUACGCAGACUGGUGCUAUUUAUCACUAGCUCGACACACACUUCUUUUUUUCACCAAGGAUGGAUAAAGUAAUAUUCAAGUGGUAGAAGUUCUGUGAAUAGUGGGUUUAAUAUUAAUGGCCAAGAAAUAUGCUGAUAAAAAGUACCCACCCAAUAGCAUUAGUUUUUACAUAUGCAGUUGUCCCUCAAUAUCCAUGGGGUUGGUUCCAGGAACCCCCAGAACCAAAAUCUGUAGAUGUUCAAGUCUCUGAUAUAGAUAGAGUAGAAUUUGCUUAUAACCCACACACAUCCUCCUGUGUACUUUAAAUCAUCUCUUAAUUACUUAUAAUACCAAAUACAAU
Non-coding RNA from Microcebus murinus (gray mouse lemur), 8812 nucleotides. The record is from RefSeq and is a predicted model, not a curated record. Lineage: Eukaryota; Metazoa; Chordata; Mammalia; Primates; Cheirogaleidae.